This 468-nucleotide ribosomal RNA is filed under the name uncultured bacterium. RNAcentral describes it as "partial 16S ribosomal RNA". It matches the Rfam family "Bacterial small subunit ribosomal RNA", at positions 28 to 507 of the family's 1533-position model. The record is from RNAcentral.
GACGAACGCUGGCGGCGUGCUUAACACAUGCAAGUCGAACGGAAAGGCCCUUCUUUUGUGGUGUUCUCGAGUGGCGAACGGGUGAGUAACACGUGGGUAACCUUCCCGUGACUUUGGGAUAACUUCAGGAAACUGGGUCUAAUACCGGAUAGGAGCUCCUGCUGCAUGGUGGGGGUUGGAAAGUUUCGGCGGUUGGGGAUGGACUCGCGGCUUAUCAGCUUGUUGGUGGGGUAGUGGCUUACCAAGGCUUUGACGGGUAGCCGGCCUGAGAGGGUGACCGGCCACAUUGGGACUGAGAUACGGACCAGACGGCUACGGGAGGCAGCAGUGGGGAAUAUUGCCCAAUGGGCGGAAGCCUGAUGAAGAAACGUCGCGUGCGGGAUGAAGGCCUUCGGGUUGUAAAACGCUUUCGCCUGUGACGAAGCGUGAGUGACGGUAAUGGGUAAAGAAGCACCGGCUAACUACGUG